RNAcentral lists this ribosomal RNA (301 nucleotides) under uncultured bacterium. Its description in RNAcentral is "partial 16S ribosomal RNA". It matches the Rfam family "Bacterial small subunit ribosomal RNA", at positions 509 to 809 of the family's 1533-position model. The record is from RNAcentral.
CAGCCGCCGCGGGAACACGAAGGGUGCAAGCGUUAAUCGGAAUUACUGGGCGUAAAGCGUGCGUAGGCGGUGAGUUAAGUCUGCUGUGAAAUCCCCGGGCUCAACCUGGGAAUGGCAGUGGAUACUGGCUCGCUAGAGUGUGUCAGAGGAUGGUGGAAUUCCCGGUGUAGCGGUGAAAUGCGUAGAGAUCGGGAGGAACAUCAGUGGCGAAGGCGGCCAUCUGGGACAACACUGACGCUGAGGCACGAAAGCGUGGGGAGCAAACAGGAUUAGAUACCCCCGUAGUCCCUGUCUCUUAUAA